UCACAUCAGAAUUCCGAAGUUAAGCGUGCUUGGGUGAGAGUAGUACUAGGAUGGGUGACCUCAUGGGAAGUCCUCGUGUUGCAUCCC
Molecule: ribosomal RNA, 87 nt
Organism: Oryza sativa Indica Group (long-grained rice)
Lineage: Eukaryota; Viridiplantae; Streptophyta; Magnoliopsida; Poales; Poaceae
Source: Rfam